AGAGACAGCAGUAGCCACGGGAAUACAGAGGGUGCGAGCGUUAAUCGGAUUUACUGGGCGUAAAGCGUGCGUAGGCGGCUUUUUAAGUCGGAUGUGAAAUCCCUGAGCUUAACUUAGGAAUUGCAUUCGAUACUGGGAAGCUAGAGUAUGGGAGAGGAUGGUAGAAUUCCAGGUGUAGCGGUGAAAUGCGUAGAGAUCUGGAGGAAUACCGAUGGCGAAGGCAGCCAUCUGGCCUAAUACUGACGCUGAGGUACGAAAGCAUGGGGAGCAAACAGGAUUAGAUACCCGAGUAGUCCCUGUCUCUUAUAA
RNAcentral lists this ribosomal RNA (309 nucleotides) under uncultured bacterium. Its description in RNAcentral is "partial 16S ribosomal RNA". It matches the Rfam family "Bacterial small subunit ribosomal RNA", at positions 504 to 809 of the family's 1533-position model. The record is from RNAcentral.